GCGUGGGUUGGAUUUAUGGCAAGCCCGUCCUCCUGGGUCCCUCACAGUGCCCCCUGUCAGAGGAGACUGCGGCCUUAACCCAUCACCUGGCCUCUUGCCCAUAGGCUGCAGGCACUGAAAUGGGUUACCCAGUG
Molecule: small nucleolar RNA, 134 nt
Organism: Artibeus jamaicensis (Jamaican fruit-eating bat)
Lineage: Eukaryota; Metazoa; Chordata; Mammalia; Chiroptera; Phyllostomidae
Product: small nucleolar RNA SNORA42/SNORA80 family
Exons: 1
Source: RefSeq, a predicted model, not a curated record